Oreochromis aureus is the source of this 321-nucleotide long non-coding RNA. The record is from Ensembl. Lineage: Eukaryota; Metazoa; Chordata; Actinopteri; Cichliformes; Cichlidae.
CAUUUUUGAGGACAAAAAAAGAGAUGGCCCAGGCACGAAGGACAUUUGCACAGACAAUACUUGAGGCCUCCGUAUUUGACAGUGACACCAACUGUGCCAUGUGUGCAACGGAGAAACCACCCAAUCCAGGACCCUCCAUCACUGACUGGAUCCAGUGUGAUAACUGCAACUGCUGGUUCCAUUCUGAAUGCCUGGACAUGACAAAUGAACAGCUCAGCAGCGCUCAGAAGACAGAGUGGAAGUGUGUGCUUUGUGUAACCUAAUUCCACAUGCAGUGAAAGCUACUAGAAUAAUCUGCUUAUAGUUAUUAUUGGUGUUUUG